UACGGAGGGUGCAAGCGUUAAUCGGAAUUACUGGGCGUAAAGCGCACGCAGGCGGUCUGUCAAGUCAGAUGUGAAAUCCCCGGGCUUUACCUGGGAACUGCAUUUGAAACUGGCAGGCUUGAGUCUCGUAGAGGGGGGUAGAAUUCCAGGUGUAGCGGUGAAAUGCGUAGAGAUCUGGAGGAAUACCGGUGGCGAAGGCGGCCCCCUGGACAAAGACUGACGCUCAGGUGCGAAAGCGUGGGGAGCAAACAGG
Molecule: ribosomal RNA, 253 nt
Filed under: uncultured bacterium
Lineage: Bacteria
Description: partial 16S ribosomal RNA
Rfam family: Bacterial small subunit ribosomal RNA
Source: RNAcentral